Molecule: long non-coding RNA, 388 nt
Organism: Triticum dicoccoides
Lineage: Eukaryota; Viridiplantae; Streptophyta; Magnoliopsida; Poales; Poaceae
Exons: 2
Source: RefSeq, a predicted model, not a curated record
CAAAAACAACCGAGAAGAAGUUUGUGAAUGAUAUUAUGGAGCGGAAACCAAUUCUUCUUUGUCUUAUGGUGCUUCUGCUGCUAGGAAAUUCCACUUAUGCUGAAAAUUGCAAAACGCAAAUUGCUUAUGGGGCCACUCUGUGCGCAUUUUAUACUUGCCUGAGUACAUGCACAUCUAUAUAUGGGAAACUCGUCAAGGAAGCAGAUUGCAAGCCCGUCAGACCUUAUUAUACUAAUUGUUCUUGCCUCCUCUGCGUCUAGCAUUACUCUUUGCCAUGAUGUAAAACAAUGGGCAAUGAUGUGAGCUAGUAAUAAAAUAUUAUUCUCAAUUGAAUGUGAGAAUGUAUGUGAUCACUAAUUUUGGAUGUUAUUGUAAUUUGAUUUUAUUC